This 254-nucleotide ribosomal RNA is filed under the name uncultured bacterium. RNAcentral describes it as "partial 16S ribosomal RNA". It matches the Rfam family "Bacterial small subunit ribosomal RNA", at positions 524 to 776 of the family's 1533-position model. The record is from RNAcentral.
UACGGGGGGGGCAAGCGUUGUUCGGAAUUACUGGGCGUAAAGGGCGCGUAGGUGGCCAACUAAGUCACACGUGAAAUCCCUCGGCUUAACCGGGGAACUGCGUCUGAUACUGGAUGGCUUGAGUUUGGGAGAGGGACGCGGAAUUCCAGGUGUAGCGGUGAAAUGCGUAGAUAUCUGGAGGAACACCGGUGGCGAAGGCGGCGUCCUGGACCAAUACUGACACUGAGUGAGCGAAAGCCAGGGGAGCAAACGGG